RNAcentral lists this ribosomal RNA (1791 nucleotides) under Triticum aestivum (bread wheat). RNAcentral's name for it is "partial small subunit ribosomal RNA". The record is from RNAcentral. Lineage: Eukaryota; Viridiplantae; Streptophyta; Magnoliopsida; Poales; Poaceae.
AUGGCGGACGAGGAGUUAACUGAUAUGAUGGUAGACAUGGAGUUUGGAGAACUGAUGAAAGACUGGAUAGAAGAUUGGUCAGAUGAUAAAUAUUCAGAUCUUGGAGAUCAGUCAGAGAAUGGGAAGGAAUGGGGAGAUUUUAAUGUGAGUGGCAUUAUCAUGUUAUGGAUGAGCAUGAUGAUGGUUAGGACAACAAUUCGGAGCUCUCAAAUGAAGAUUACAUUAGUCAAGUACACAUGCCUUAACGAUGAAUCAUCAGAUGCACCUGAUUCUGGGGAUUCGCAGUCAUCGGUCAUCAUGAGUGAGGUGACAGAAGAUGGUGGGGUAAUAAAUGUCCAAGAUACUGUCAGUGCAGAUGAUAAGAGGGAUAUGUUCAUGCAGAUAAUGGACAUGACUUUUAUGACUCACGAUGUUGCGUAUGAUUUCUACAACAGCUAUGCUAGAGUUAAUGGUUUCAGCAUUAGAAAGAAUAAGGCCAGGUAUACAAAAACCGAUGCACAUCUUAUGCGUUAUAGGAAGUUUGUUUGUUCCAGACAAGGGAAACAUGACAACAAGUUACUAACCGAGGAAGGGCAUAGCCGUAGGCUCAGAGCCGAGACACGCUGCUUUUGCGAAGCACACCUGACCGUCAAGCUUGACCAAAAACGUGGGGUUUGGUAUGUUUCAAGUUUUGAGGACAAGCAUAGCCAUAUGUUGGCAGGACCGGACGAGGUACCUUUUCUUUGGUCCCACAGAAAAAUCAAAGAGUUCCAGAAGCAUGAGAUAAUGUCCAUGGGAGCUGCAGGGAUUAGAAUUCACGACAUGAUGGAUUCCCUCAUCAGCAAACAUGUAUGGUAUGGCGGUGUUGGUUUUACCAGGCGUGAAAUAUACAACCUUUGUGCCAGGGAGAAGAGGAAGCUGCUUUCAAAAGGUGAUGCUGCCACAGCCAUAGGCAUCAUGGCCAAUAGAAAACAGAGGGAUCCUAGCUUCUUUUUCGAGUACAUGCUAGAUAAGGAAGAGCACUUGAAUAGGAUGUUCUGGUGUGACUCCCAGUCUUGUCAUGACUAUAAGGACUUCGGCGACGUGCUUGUAUUUGACAGCACGUACAAGAUGAACCGCUAUGUUUCGGACGAGACCGAACAGACAUACGUGUGGCUGCUGCAGACUUUUUUGAGGUCCAUGUGUCAAAAGAUGCCAAAGAGUGUAAUCACAGACGCCGACGCUGCAAUGAUCAAGGCAAUUCGCGAAGUCUUGCCAGACAUGUGGCACCGUAUAUCAAACUUCUAUAUGUUGCAAGAUGAUCUUAGAAAAAUUGAUGGCAUGGAGAUUGUAGAAAUUAAGCUGGGAGACGGAUCACAGGAGUACAUCGUGGCCUGGAAGAAUAACCGGAAUAGCCGUUUUUGGGUGGAGUAUACACCGUGUUUAGUUCUUGUUCGGUUGACAAAACAAGCAAGGUUGGGACUGUCCGCGAGGUGCACAAGCGAUAUGUUGGGAUAUGGUUGGACUGGGGCAGAGGAAAGAAUGAAAUAUAGCCAGGGAAAUUUGAGCAAGAAUACAAAUGACUUCAGUAAGUGUGCAGUUGAAUAUGUAGACGAUGAAGAAGACAACAUGGUCGCAGUUAAAGAUCCUAUGAAAGUGUCAAGCAAAGGUUCAACAAAGGUAGAUGAGAACCGCCCUGUCUCGAAAAACGGUAGACCACUCUCUUUUGAUGAGUUGAAAACCCGGUGCGGCGCUUGCAAAUUGCUAGGACACACUAAACGUAGCAAGAAAUGCAAACUAAAUCAGAAAACAGUGGAGAAGGAAGAAGAGUAG